Alexandromys fortis (reed vole) is the source of this 316-nucleotide long non-coding RNA. RefSeq lists it as uncharacterized. The record is from RefSeq and is a predicted model, not a curated record. Lineage: Eukaryota; Metazoa; Chordata; Mammalia; Rodentia; Cricetidae. The transcript has 3 exons.
GCCAUUGUGAGCCCUGAAGCUGGGAAUGUUACCUGCCCAAAAGACUGGAUUGCAUUUGGACGUAAAUGUUUUUAUUUGUCUGAAAACACAAGUAACUGGAGAUCCAGCCAGACCUCCUGCAUGGAGCAGGUGGCCCAUCUAACUCACUUUGACAAUCUGGAGGAGCUGGAUUUCCUGAAUAGAACAUAUGGGCAUUCUGCUGCGUGGAUCGGACUGCACAGAGAGUCAUCAGAGCAGCCUUGGAUGUGGACAGACAACACUGAAUAUAACAACUUGACACUCAUCCGAGGAGUUGGAAACCAUGCCUACCUGAGUG